CGAAGGUCCCAAGCGUUAUCCGGAUUUAUUGGGUUUAAAGGGUGCGUAGGCGGCUUAUUAAGUCAGUGGUGAAAGCUCCAAGCUUAACUUGGGAACUGCCAUUGAUACUGAUGAGCUUGAGUAGAUUUGAGGCGGGCGGAAUGUGUCGUGUAGCGGUGAAAUGCUUAGAUAUGACACAGAACACCAAUUGCGUAGGCAGCUCGCUAAACUCUUACUGACGCUGAGGCACGAAAGCAUGGGGAUCAAACAGGAUUAGAUACCCUGGUAGUCCAUGCCCUAAACGAUGAUUACUCGAUGUGUGCGAUACACUGUACGCGUCUGAGCGAAAGCAUUAAGUAAUCCACCUGGGGAUACGGUCGCAAGACUG
Molecule: ribosomal RNA, 367 nt
Filed under: uncultured organism
Description: bacterial SSU rRNA
Rfam family: Bacterial small subunit ribosomal RNA
Source: RNAcentral